CAGUUGUUUCUCCAGCUGUUGACUGUGUAACUGAAGUUCAGUGGUCGUGAAAACUCCACUUACUCUUUUUCUACAAAGAAGGCGAGACAUUUAGAGCAGACAUGGCGCUUACCGACGCUGACGUGCAGAAACAGAUCAAGCACAUGAUGGCCUUCAUUGAACAAGAGGCCAAUGAGAAAGUGGAAGAGAUUGAUUCCAAGGCAGAGGAAGAAUUCAACAUCGAGAAAGGUCGACUAGUGCAGACACAGAGGGUAAAAAUAAUGGAGUACUAUGAGAAAAAAGAAAAACAGAUCGAGCAACAUAAAAAAAUCCAGAUGUCAAACCUGAUGAACCAAGCUAGACUAAAGGUGCUGAAGGCACGUGACGACAUGAUCAAGGAUUUGUUGAACGAGGCCCGUCAAAGACUUGCAGAGAUUGCCAAGGAUCCUGUUCAGUACUCCGCACUACUAGAGGGCCUCAUACUUCAGGCAUUCUAUCAACUGCUGGAGCCUAAGGUUACCAUUCGCUGUCGACAGCAGGAUGUAGAAAUUAUUGAGGCUGCAGUUACUAAGAACAUCGCUGUUUACAAACAGGCAGUGAAGAGCAACAUAGACGUUAGAAUUGACAAGGAACGCUUUCUUUCAUCAGAAAUCUGCGGAGGAGUAGAAGUGUAUAAUGAUAAUGGGAAGAUCAAGGUUUCCAACACUUUGGAGAGCAGGCUAGACCUUAUGGCACAUCAGAUGAUGCCUGAAGUCAGAGUGAACUUGUUUGGUGCCAACCCCAACCGCAAGUUCACAGAUUAACAGUGGAUCUGAAGGGGGUGCAGUGACACAGGUGGAACAUUUAAGGUGGCCCCUGCCCCCCUGUAGAGGCCGGCCAGGCCACGAGACCUCAAUAGAUCCACAGUGAUGCCUGUAGCUGAGGGCCGUUGUUGAGGUGUCGGUCGGGGCUGUGGUCGGGCGGACACUAGUGAUGGAGCUGGACCAGGAGCAGCAGCAGCAGCAGCAGCCUGAGCUGCAGUUGGCACAGGCCUUUGUGCAGCUGACGGAAAAACACACAGUGUCUCAGGGCCUGAGGAACCCAGACCUUCUUGUUGUGAGGCAACAGUGCUAGCCACUACUCCACCAUGUGGCCCUGGACCACUUUUAAUGUUUUUUAAUUUCCCUAUUUUCUCCCAUGUAUGAAAAAAAACUGAAUAUGUUCAUUGAUUGAUUUAUUUACUACAGAAGCAGGUUUUGUUCAGAGAAGGAAGAACGACUGCUGGUUCAGUGCCUAACACUGACGACACUGAGGAGAUACUGUAUACAUAUAUAUACAUCACAUUAUACUAUGUAUAAUAUGUAUAUACAAUGUGUACAAAUUAUAUAUAUAGCAUAUAGUGAAUAUUGUAAUGUGCUCCUAAUAUAAUAAACCCUGUCCCUCCUGGAGAAUUUAUAAGCUUUGCUCUUGCACCACCCUUAGGCCAACUGUAAAAAUGCAUGUUCCUUGAAUCCAAUAAUGUAAUAUAAUGCUUUUAAAAGGGUUCAGUGAUGAGGAAACCAUUCCAGUGCCAGCCCCAGGGCAGUUUGUAUUUACAGUUCGUAAAUAGCCCACUGACAUUGACUUGAACUUCUGGAUCUCAAAUCCUGCAUUUGAUUAGAAAAAAUCAUCAAUAUUUUAAUUUUAUUUUGCAGGUUCAUUUAAUUUGAAUGCAUACAUUGGUGCUUGAGUUGAUGCAAGCCAUGUGAGACAUGCUAUACAAAAAAUAAUUUAUGUUUGUUUAUUGUAUUCACCUUAUGCCAAACAACUAUUUUAAUAUUUUAUUUUAUUCCAUCUUAUUGCCAAUUUUUCUGUUUUUAUAUCCAUAUACUAUGCCUUGUUUCCACUGCUGUAUUUCUAUUUUUUUGCAUGGAGCAUCUGGAACAAAAACAAUUUCCCCCUGGGAUUAAUAAAGUAUUCUGAUUCUGA
RNA transcript from Solea solea (common sole), 1926 nucleotides. It is a transcript of the gene named ATPase H+ transporting V1 subunit E1a, with no coding region annotated. The transcript has 11 exons. The record is from RefSeq and is a predicted model, not a curated record. Lineage: Eukaryota; Metazoa; Chordata; Actinopteri; Pleuronectiformes; Soleidae.